UGGGGAAUAUUUCACAAUGGGGGAAACCCUGAUGCAGCAACGCCGCGUGAGUGAUGAAGGCCUUCGGGUUGGAAAGCUCUUUGAUUAGGGACGAUAAUGACGGUAUCUAAAGAACAAGCCACGGCUAACUACGUGCCAGCAGCCGCGGUAAUACGUAGGUGGCAAGCGUUGUCCGGAUUUACUGGGCGUAAAGGAUGUGUAGGCGGAUUUUUAAGUGAGAUGUGAAAUACCCGAGCUCAACUUGGGUGCUGCAUUUCAAACUGGAAGUCUAGAGUGCAGGAGAGGAAAGUGGAAUUCCUAGUGUAGCGGUGAAAUGCGUAGAGAUUAGGAAGAACAUCAGUGGCGAAGGCGACUUUCUGGACUGUAACUGACGCUGAGGCAUGAAAGCGUGGGGAGCAAACAGG
Molecule: ribosomal RNA, 404 nt
Filed under: uncultured prokaryote
Also listed under: 1 other name
Description: bacterial SSU rRNA
Rfam family: Bacterial small subunit ribosomal RNA
Source: RNAcentral